UUGGGCUACGGGGACAUGUACCCCAUGACGUGGUCGGGGAUGCUGGUGGGGGCCCUGUGCGCCCUGGCGGGGGUCCUCACCAUCGCCAUGCCCGUCCCCGUCAUCGUCAACAAC
Molecule: non-coding RNA, 114 nt
Organism: Colinus virginianus (northern bobwhite)
Lineage: Eukaryota; Metazoa; Chordata; Aves; Galliformes; Odontophoridae
Source: Rfam